This 191-nucleotide small nuclear RNA is filed under the name Jaculus jaculus (lesser Egyptian jerboa). Its description in RNAcentral is "U2 spliceosomal RNA (ENSJJAG00000004957.1)". It matches the Rfam family "U2 spliceosomal RNA". From Rfam's summary of the family: U2 is a small nuclear RNA (snRNA) component of the spliceosome (involved in pre-mRNA splicing). Complementary binding between U2 snRNA (in an area lying towards the 5' end but 3' to hairpin I) and the branchpoint sequence (BPS) of the intron results the bulging out of an unpaired adenosine, on the BPS, which initiates a nucleophilic attack at the intronic 5' splice site, thus starting the first of two transesterification reactions that mediate splicing. The record is from Rfam by way of RNAcentral. Lineage: Eukaryota; Metazoa; Chordata; Mammalia; Rodentia; Dipodidae.
AUCACUUCUUGGCCUUUUGGUUAUGAUCAAGUGUAGUAUCUGUUCUCAUCAGUUUAAUAUCUGAUAUGUCCUCUAUCCGAGGACAAUAUAUUAAAUGGAUUUUUGGAGCUUGGAGUUGGAAUAGGAGCUUACUCUGUCCACUCCAUGCAUCAACCUGGUAUUGCAGUACUUCCAGGAAUGGUGCACCCCCU